Molecule: ribosomal RNA, 373 nt
Filed under: uncultured bacterium
Lineage: Bacteria
Description: bacterial SSU rRNA
Rfam family: Bacterial small subunit ribosomal RNA
Source: RNAcentral
CCUACGGGAGGCAGCAGUGGGGAAGUAUUGGACAAUGGGCGAAAGCCUGAUCCAGCAAUGCCGCGUGAGUGAUGAAGGCCUUAGGGUUGUAAAGCUCUUUUACCCGGGAUGAUAAUGACAGUACCGGGAGAAUAAGCUCCGGCUAACUCCGUGCCAGCAGCCGCGGUAAUACGGAGGGAGCUAGCGUUAUUCGGAAUUACUGGGCGUAAAGCGCACGUAGGCGGCUUUGUAAGUAAGAGGUGAAAGCCUGGUGCUCAACACCAGAACUGCCUUUUAGACUGCAUCGCUUGAAUCCAGGAGAGGUGAGUGGAAUUCCGAGUGUAGAGGUGAAAUUCGUAGAUAUUCGGAAGAACACCAGUGGCGAAGGCGGCUC